UUUUUUCAGAUUUUUUGUUUAGCUUGUUGCUUUUCUUAUUUUAGAAAAGUAUGGUAAUAGUUUUACCAUUACGGGGAAGUUUGGUUAUGGUUUAAUCAUUAGGGGAGUUUGUUGGAAUGCUCAUGUUUUCAGUUAUUGUUAUUAGUCCGAUUUGUGAACUGUCUGAGACUAGGACAACUGUUUGUGGACUUGCAUGAUUUGCACCCACGGGAUGUUGUUAUUCCCUUUACCAAGACCAAAGAAGAGCUGAAGUUCCACCCCUAUUUUGAAGAUUGAAGUUUUUACCCUAAAGAGUUGUUGACAUGAUUUCUCUACCCUUGACAAGUUGUCCACGACAUACGUGUUACAUUUUAUGAUUGCAAAGUUUGCGUUGUGUGUACCACGUUUGUCGUGCGGGGGAGUAUUGGAGAUAUCUUGGGGAGCAAGAUGUGUAUCUUGCAGACUAACUAUUAUGGACCGUCAAAGUCCGCUAUUGAAGUGAACCCGUGAAGCCCAAGUCGAAGAAUAUUCUAGAAGUAUGAUAAGGAGUAAGAAAUUUAGAAUAUUUACUUAUUCAUGUUUAUCUGUUUCCUAUUCUAAUUAGGUUAAACAUAAGUUAGCCUCUAUAUAUUGUAUCAAUUCUUUAGAGAUUAAACAACACAAUAAUAAAGAGUUUUCCCCAAAUCCUUCUAUAGUUUUUUCAUGUACAAUAUAUAUAUAUAUAUAUAUAUAUAUAUAUAUAAUCAGAUUUUUUUAUAUAUAAAAUAAAUAGCAUUGGGAAAGAAAAGCAUUUAACAACCUGGUCAAAACUUAUGGAAGUUCUAAUGAGAAAAGAGAUGGGACUGAGCAUAGCAAGGAGCUUCUAGCUGAGAUGCGUGAUAUCAAAGAAGCAAAAUCAGAAAUUGAAGAACAUUUGGCGGUAAAAUAUAGUAUAUAUUUCCAUUUAAAUGCUCUUAAAUAUUUAUAAGAUUGCAACUAAUUUAUGCAUAUUAUAUGCUAUUAUUAUUUUCUUAAUUUUGGUGGAUAGUUAAAUAUGCUAAUUGGAUUAUUGAAAAUUUUUAGGAUUUGAUGAAGAAAAUACGCAAAGCGAUUGAGGAGGAAGAUGCUUCCUCUUCUAAGUAAAGGAAUAAGUAGUAAUUUCACAAGUUAUGGAAUAAUUAAUAUAUGGUUUUUCAUGUCAUUUAUCAUCAAUAAUGAAGUAUUAAUAUUGAAUAAGUUAUAAUGUAUUUCUCUCUUUUAUUCUCUAUCGAUUUCCCUUUUUCAUAUUGCCAAUUUUCA
This 1257-nucleotide long non-coding RNA is filed under the name Capsella rubella. RNAcentral's name for it is "long non-coding RNA (CRUB_LNC001798)". The record is from RNAcentral. Lineage: Eukaryota; Viridiplantae; Streptophyta; Magnoliopsida; Brassicales; Brassicaceae.